Non-coding RNA from Macaca mulatta (Rhesus monkey), 1454 nucleotides. Lineage: Eukaryota; Metazoa; Chordata; Mammalia; Primates; Cercopithecidae. The record is from RefSeq and is a predicted model, not a curated record.
CAGGUGGGGCGCGCCCUGACGUGGCGCCAGUAAUAGAGCGCCCACUGCAAAGCCACCGAGCCAGGCGCCUUAGACCCCCGCAGAACCUUCUUCACAAGCCCUUCUGUGUCUCCUUGCUCCUCAGCGUAUUCUUGUAACUCCAUUUAUUGGUGAGAAUGGUGUCAUAUAAAUUGUCUUAGCCAGUUGUGAUGGCUCAUGCCUGGAUUCACAGCAUUUCUGGAGGCCAAGGUGGGAAGAUCGCUUGAGGGCAGGAGUUCGAGGCCAGCCUUGGCAAUACAGAGAGACCCCAUCUCGUGGUGGGCAGUACAGAGGAGGAUGAAGAGGCGUGGUCCACCACAACAGGUUACCCAGAGAGGCUGCAGAGAGUUUAAAAGGAAGGAGAGGGAUCACCAGACCAUGAAGAGGCUAAAGGACAAAACCGUGGAGAAAGUACAGGCAUACCUGGAAGAUACUGAGGCUUCAGGUCCAGACCACUGCAAUCAAGCCACCUCGAGGAUCCUCCAUGGAACGGAACAAGAGAAUCCUGAGAAAUCUCUGUAAAGGAACAGAAAGAAUGAGAGAGAAAAAUGUGAGUCUGACCACCGGGUGCCUGGGACCUAUGUGCCACCCAGGUUUGGAGCAAGGCUGCGGGGCAGAUGAUGUCCAGGAGAGCCUCAGAAAGUCCGGGCUCUAGAAAAAAACCACAUUCCAGCUCACUCUGCUCUGAACUGCAUCUGCUCUGUGCUGAAAGCUUUGUUGCUGCCGUGAAUAUAUUUAGGGGGAAUAAAAUGUGCAGUAUCAAAGCGACUGGCUUGGAAUGGGCUGGAUGCAUCUUAGGCUCUGCAGGGGGAAAAGGCCUCUAGCUAGCAGUUGACAGAAGGGGGAAGGCAGUGAGGACUGGGCCCACCCACGGGAGUCUGGGCAUGACGCGGGUCCUGGUUCCCAGGCUGCCCUAUGGGAAUAUGCUCCAUGGGCUGGGGCUGCUGUGCUGGCUGCUUUUGCCCCCAGGGGGUCACCACGCUGGGCUUCUCCAUGCUGGGCUAUCAUGAUAAUGCCCAGGGUUUACGGGUUUACGGGCAUUAUCUCGCGCAGUAUUGUUUUGCUCCCUUUCACAAAGAAAGGAAGGAAAAGAGAGGCAGGAGGAGAGAGAGGAAGCCAGACAAGCGUUCAGCUCUGCUAGUCGUUCCUUGCCUGGGUUAGGCUUCCCUGGAAAGUAGCCCACAUUGUCUCGUACCUUCUUCAUCUGACAGCCAGGUGCUCCUACUGGGAGCAUACCUGUAGUAGGCCAUCGCUGUGCCAGUUGACUGAGAAAGCAGUGUCCCUGCUUUUCUGGAAACUUUCAUACAACACAAUUCCCGAUGGAAAGCAUUUAACAAUUAUGGGUGGGGCUGUGAUCAAAAAGUAAACUCUAGAAAACGUUAACAGCUAAGCUGGGCGUGGUGGCUCACACCUGUAAUCUCAGCACUUUAGGAGGC